RNAcentral lists this unclassified non-coding RNA (330 nucleotides) under soil metagenome. RNAcentral describes it as "partial contains 5.8S ribosomal RNA, internal transcribed spacer 2, and large subunit ribosomal RNA". The stretch from base 1 to 120 matches the Rfam family "5.8S ribosomal RNA", at positions 35 to 154 of the family's 154-position model. The record is from RNAcentral.
GAUGAAGAACGCAGCGAAAUGCGAUAAGUAAUGUGAAUUGCAGAAUUCAGUGAAUCACCGAAUCUUUGAACGCACAUUGCGCCCUCUGGUAUUCCGGGGGGCAUGCCUGUUCGAGCGUCAUUACAACCCUCAAGCUUUGCUUGGUAUUGGACAUUGCCAGUUUCUGGCAGGUCUUAAAAUCAGUGGCGGUGCCAUUUGGCUUCAAGCGUAGUAAUUCUUCUCGCUUUGGAGAUCCAAGUGGUUACUUGCCAAUAACCCCCAAUUUUUUCAGGUUGACCUCGGAUCAGGUAGGGAUACCCGCUGAACUUAAGCAUAUCAAUAAGCGGAGGA